AUGCGGGCAAAGCUUCGGAUGGGAUUUGCUCCCUUCCUUUCAAAGCUUUACAUCUCCACCUGCCGGACAUCCUCACUACCUCCAUCUUCAUCGAGCUCGGUAAUACAACCAUGGCUUUUUAUUGGCCUCGGUAACCCCGGUGAGAAGUACCAAUCCACCAGACACAAUGUUGGGUUUGAUAUGAUAGAUGCAUUUGCAGAGUCUCAGGGCAUAUCCCUGACAACGCAUCAUUUCAAAGCACUAUUUGGUGAAGUGGUGGUAGAUGGUGUCCCUGUUUUGCUUGCCAAGCCUCAAACAUACAUAAAUCUGAGUGGUGAAUCUGCUGGUGCACUUGCUGCCUAUUAUAAACUGCCACUUCACCGUGUCAUAGUGGCAUAUGAUGACACGGACCUGCCGUGUGGAGUUCUCCGUUUACAACCUAAAGGAGGAUAUGGACGUCACAAUGGGUUGAAGAGUGUGAUCUAUCAUUUUCGCAAGAACCGGGAAUUUGGUCGAUUAAGGAUCGGAAUUGGACGACCUCCUGGUCAGAUGGAUCCCAAAGCUUUUGUGCUUCAGAAGUUCAAUAAGACUGGUCGGGAACGGAUUGAUUCGGCCAUAAAAGAGGGUUGCGACAUUCUGAAGAUGGUGGUGACCAAGGGUCUGACGGAGGCGGCGAGAGCGUCAAACGUGGAUCAGAAGUACAAGCAUCUGGUCUCACAUGACCAGCAGCUGUAA
RNAcentral lists this ribosomal RNA (714 nucleotides) under Triticum aestivum (bread wheat). RNAcentral's name for it is "partial small subunit ribosomal RNA". Lineage: Eukaryota; Viridiplantae; Streptophyta; Magnoliopsida; Poales; Poaceae. The record is from RNAcentral.